This 705-nucleotide ribosomal RNA is filed under the name Kocuria sediminis. RNAcentral describes it as "bacterial SSU rRNA". It matches the Rfam family "Bacterial small subunit ribosomal RNA", at positions 801 to 1533 of the family's 1533-position model. The record is from RNAcentral. Lineage: Bacteria; Bacillati; Actinomycetota; Actinomycetes; Micrococcales; Micrococcaceae.
UUGACGAGUGCAGUAUAUGUGUGGGGAAAUUCCACGUUUUCCGCGCCGUAACUCACUCAUUAUGUGCCCCGGCGGGGGAGUACGGCCGCAUGGCUAAACCUCAGAGGAAUUGGCGGGGGCCCGCACAAGCGGAGGAUCAGGAGUAUUAAUUCGAUGCACCGCAAACAACCUUACCCCUGGUUGACCUUCACCGGACCGCCACAUACAUGGGGUUUCCCUUCGAGGCUGGUGGACAGGUGGUGCAUGGUUGUCGUCAGCUCGUGUCGUGAGAUGUUGGGUUAAGUCCCGCAACGAGCGCAACCCUCGUUCUAUGUUGCCUACACGUGAUGGUGGGGACUCAACUGAGACUGACGGGGUCAACUCGGAGGAAGGUGGGGAUGACGUCAAAUCAUCAUGCCCCUUAUGUCUUGGGCUUCACGCAUGCUACAAUGGCCGGUACAAAGGGUUGCGAUACUGUGAGGUGGACCUAAUCCCAAAAAGCCGGUCUCAUCUCAGACUGAGGUCUGCAACUCUACCUCUUGAAUUCGGAGUCGCUAGUAAUCGCAGAUCCGCAACGCUGCGGUGAAUACGUUCCCGGGCCUUGUACACACCGCCCGUGAAAUCGGGAUUUUGGUAACACCCGAAGCCGGUGGCCUAGCCCCUUAUGACAGGGAGCCGUCUAAUGAGGGACUGGAGAUCGUCAAAGGUCCCAAAGGGAAAACCAAA